AUUCGUUGGAUGAAUGUGAGGCAUUGGAUUGAUUUUGUUCAAUCCGAGCCCCACAUUCAUUAAGAGUUCGU
This 71-nucleotide microRNA precursor is filed under the name Nicotiana sylvestris (wood tobacco). RNAcentral's name for it is "MIR6151 microRNA precursor family". It matches the Rfam family "MIR6151 microRNA precursor family". Lineage: Eukaryota; Viridiplantae; Streptophyta; Magnoliopsida; Solanales; Solanaceae. The record is from Rfam by way of RNAcentral.